RNAcentral lists this long non-coding RNA (507 nucleotides) under Olea europaea subsp. europaea. The record is from RNAcentral. Lineage: Eukaryota; Viridiplantae; Streptophyta; Magnoliopsida; Lamiales; Oleaceae.
UUUUCUUCCAAUUCAUAAACAAUUUUGGCAAAUGAUCUAUAUUCUUCUUCUUUUGAUGAUAAAGGGGUAUCAUCAUCUUCAUCAGUUUUGAUCCUGAUAACUCUUGUAUAUUCAUUACCAUUUUUUAUAGUCACCUUCCGGGGACUUGCUAUGUCUCGUUUGAUAUUGCUGGGUCCACUGCUGCUUCCUGGCUGUGUACCCGUUUGUAUUUUUGAGAUUGUAUCUAUUGGUAUUUCUUGUUUGGUAUUUAAUGACUCGAAUUGUGAAAUAAUAUCAUCAAUUCUAUCAUUCAAUUCUUUGGUAUAUUUGGAAUGAGAAUUAGAGAUUUCCACCAGCAAUUUGACAUUUGUUGAAUAGAUUCUGCCAUUUGCUCUAAUUGCUCAAUUCCAAUUUUCAUAUCUUCUGAUUCCUCCAUGAGGAAUUCCAUUCGUCUUUUGACGUCUAUUAAUGAAUUUUUGAUAUUAUCCAUCUCCAAAUUCGAUAUUCCUGCUCAAAAAAUCUGCAAGA